AGGUGACUCAAAGACAUCUGUGCUGCCA
RNAcentral lists this non-coding RNA (28 nucleotides) under Mus musculus (house mouse). Lineage: Eukaryota; Metazoa; Chordata; Mammalia; Rodentia; Muridae. The record is from RNAcentral.